This 460-nucleotide ribosomal RNA is filed under the name uncultured bacterium. Its description in RNAcentral is "partial 16S ribosomal RNA". It matches the Rfam family "Bacterial small subunit ribosomal RNA", at positions 338 to 795 of the family's 1533-position model. The record is from RNAcentral.
ACUACGGGUGGCAGCAGUGAGGAAUAUUGGUCAAUGGGCGUAAGCCUGAACCAGCCAAGUCGCGUGAGGGAUGAAGGUUCUAUGGAUCGUAAACCUCUUUUAUAAGGGAAUAAAGUGCGGGUCGUGUCCCGUUUUGUAUGUACCUUAUGAAUAAGGAUCGGCUAACUCCGUGCCAGCAGCCGCGGUAAUACGGGGGAUCCGAGCGUUAUCCGGAUUUAUUGGGUUUAAAGGGUGCGUAGGCGGCCCUUUAAGUCAGCGGUGAAAGUCUGUGGCUCAACCCUAGAAUUGCCGUUGAAACUGGAAGGUUGGAGUAGGUGUGAGGCAGGCGGAAUGCGUGGUGUAGCGGUGAAAUGCUUAGAUAUCACGCAGAACCCCGAUUGCGAAGGCAGCCUGCCAAGCCAUGACUGACGUUGAUGCACGAAAGCGUGGGGAGCGAACAGGAUUAGAUACCCGAGUAGUC